RNAcentral lists this ribosomal RNA (252 nucleotides) under uncultured Bacteroidales bacterium. RNAcentral's name for it is "partial 16S ribosomal RNA". It matches the Rfam family "Bacterial small subunit ribosomal RNA", at positions 524 to 776 of the family's 1533-position model. The record is from RNAcentral. Lineage: Bacteria; Pseudomonadati; Bacteroidota; Bacteroidia; Bacteroidales.
UACGGAGGAUUCAAGCGUUAUCCGGAUUUAUUGGGUUUAAAGGGUGCGCAGGCGGCGUGUCAAGUCAGCGGUAAAAUGUCGGGGCUCAACCCCGGCCGGCCGUUGAAACUGGCGUGCUCGAGUUGGAGAGAAGUAUGCGGAAUUCGUGGUGUAGCGGUGAAAUGCAUAGAUAUCGCGCAGAACUCCGAUUGCGAAGGCAGCAUACCGGCGCUCAACUGACGCUCAUGCACGAAAGCGUGGGUAUCGAACAGG